GGAGGAUCCAAGCGUUAUCCGGAUUUAUUGGGUUUAAAGGGUGCGUAGGCGGCCUGUUAAGUCAGGGGUGAAAGACGGUAGCUCAACUAUCGCAGUGCCCUUGAUACUGAUGGGCUUGAAUGGACUAGAGGUAGGCGGAAUGAGACAAGUAGCGGUGAAAUGCAUAGAUAUGUCUCAGAACACCGAUUGCGAAGGCAGCUUACUAUGGUCUUAUUGACGCUGAGGCACGAAAGCGUGGGGAUCAAACAGGAUUAGAUACCCUGGUAGUCCACGCCCUAAACGAUGAACACUCGCUGKUUGGCGAUACACAGUCAGCGGCUAARCSAAAAGCGUUAAKUGUUCCMCCUGGGGGAGUACGCUCGCAAGARUG
Molecule: ribosomal RNA, 370 nt
Filed under: uncultured bacterium
Lineage: Bacteria
Description: bacterial SSU rRNA
Rfam family: Bacterial small subunit ribosomal RNA
Source: RNAcentral